Populus trichocarpa (black cottonwood) is the source of this 138-nucleotide non-coding RNA. The record is from Rfam. Lineage: Eukaryota; Viridiplantae; Streptophyta; Magnoliopsida; Malpighiales; Salicaceae.
UAGUCUGCCUAAGUCAAAUCCCCAUAUAUUUAUGUUACAUCCUUACCUAAAUGUUCAUAAAUUUUAAUUUUUAGAAGCUCAACUGUAUCAAUACAACCGAUGAUUUCUCUAUCAAUGAGAUCAAAAUGAGACUAUAUU